RNAcentral lists this ribosomal RNA (484 nucleotides) under uncultured bacterium. Its description in RNAcentral is "bacterial SSU rRNA". It matches the Rfam family "Bacterial small subunit ribosomal RNA", at positions 8 to 480 of the family's 1533-position model. The record is from RNAcentral.
AGAGUUUGAUCAUGGCUCAGAUUGAACGCUGGCGGCAGGCCUAACACAUGCAAGUCGAACGGUAACAGGAAACAGCUUGCUGUUUCGCUGACGAGUGGCGGACGGGUGAGUAAUGUCUGGGAAACUGCCUGAUGGAGGGGGAUAACUACUGGAAACGGUAGCUAAUACCGCAUAACGUCGCAAGACCAAAGAGGGGGACCUUCGGGCCUCUUGCCAUCGGAUGUGCCCAGAUGGGAUUAGCUAGUAGGUGGGGUAACGGCUCACCUAGGCGACGAUCCCUAGCUGGUCUGAGAGGAUGACCAGCCACACUGGAACUGAGACACGGUCCAGACUCCUACGGGAGGCAGCAGAGGGGAAUAUUGCACAAUGGGCGCAAGCCUGAUGCAGCCAUGCCGCGUGUAUGAAGAAGGCCUUCGGGUUGUAAAGUACUUUCAGCGGGGAGGAAGGGAGUAAAGUUAAUACCCUUUGCUCAUUGACGUUACCC